This 148-nucleotide small RNA is filed under the name Brochothrix thermosphacta. The record is from RNAcentral. Lineage: Bacteria; Bacillati; Bacillota; Bacilli; Caryophanales; Listeriaceae.
ACACGAUUAUAGUAUUUUAGAAUAAUGGAAGUUUGGUGAAAAUCCAACACGGUCCCGCCACUGUAAUAAGCAAAGAGUGCUUUAAGUCAGGUCUUUUAUCUAAAUUAAACUGGUACUGUUGUUUCGAGGCAAAAACAAUAGUCGCUUA